Long non-coding RNA from Ylistrum balloti, 193 nucleotides. RefSeq lists it as uncharacterized. NCBI's taxonomy places the organism in Eukaryota, Metazoa, Mollusca, Bivalvia, Pectinida, Pectinidae. The transcript has 3 exons. The record is from RefSeq and is a predicted model, not a curated record.
CAGGUAUUAGUUGUUGGUUGAUUUUUUAUUUUGUCCAUUUUCAGACAAAUAUCAGACAGUAUAUGAUGAUUCUGGUGCUCUGUUUCAUUCAGUAAAGGAAUCCAUCAAAGAUGAAGCUAAGCCUUUGGAAAAAAAACACAAAAGGAAAAAGACCAGAAAGACAUUUAUCAGUGAUGUAAGAGGAUCUUCAGAA